Molecule: ribosomal RNA, 222 nt
Filed under: Hypoponera foreli
Lineage: Eukaryota; Metazoa; Arthropoda; Insecta; Hymenoptera; Formicidae
Description: partial large subunit ribosomal RNA
Source: RNAcentral
GAAUUUUAUAUUUUAAUAUGUAAUAAUAUAUAAUUAAAAUAUUUUAUUGGGAGGAUAUUUAAAUUUAAUAAACUUUAAUUAUUAAUAACAUUGAUGAAUGAAAAUUUUAAAAAAUAUUAAUAUUUAAGAAUAAAUGAAUAAUUAUGAAUUAUUAAAGAAUUAAUUACCUUAGGGAUAACAGCAUAAUAUUUUUUUGUAGUUCAUAUAUAAAAAAAUGCUUGU